CAGGAUUUGUUUUCUUCUCAAAGUGCGAGUAACUUAAAAGGUGCAUCUCUGCUGCCUGGCAAGCUCCCCACGUCGGUUUCCCUGUUUGAUGAUGAAGAUGAAGAGGAUAAUCUUUUUGGGCGUACAGCUGCUAAGAGGCAGACAUUGUGUCUACAAGCUCAGAGAGAAGAGAAAGCAAAAGCCUCCGAGCUCUCCAAAAAGAAAGCAUCUGCCCUGUUGUUCAGCAGUGAUGAGGAGGUGAGCUGAGGUUUCUGCUAA
This 258-nucleotide long non-coding RNA is filed under the name Homo sapiens (human). RNAcentral describes it as "non-protein coding lnc-PARG-1:3". The record is from RNAcentral. Lineage: Eukaryota; Metazoa; Chordata; Mammalia; Primates; Hominidae.